GACGAACGCUGGCGGCGUGCUUAACACAUGCAAGUCGAACGGACAUUAUUGCUAAGUUUACUUAGAGAUAAUGUUAGUGGCGGACGGGUGAGUAACACGUGGAUAAUCUGCCCCUUACCCUGGGAUAACACUGUGAAAACGGUGCUAAUACCGGAUGACUUCAGGGAGCCGCAAGGCAGCCUGAAGAAAGGAGGAAUCCGGUAAGGGAUGAGUCCGCGGCUGAUUAGCUAGUUGGUGGGGUAAAGGCUCACCAAGGCGACGAUCAGUAGCCGGCCUGAGAGGGUGAACGGCCACACUGGGACUGAGACACGGCCCAGACUCCUACGGGAGGCAGCAGUGGGGAAUCUUCCGCAAUGGGCGAAAGCCUGACGGAGCAACGCCGCGUGGGUGAAGAAGGCCCUCGGGUUGUAAAGCUCUUUUGUCCGGAAAGAAAAGCGCCGGGUUAAUACCCUGGUGUCCUGACGGUACCGGAAGAAUAAGCACCGGCUAACUUCGUGCCAGCAGCCGCGGUAAGCUCGUCUCUA
RNAcentral lists this ribosomal RNA (524 nucleotides) under uncultured bacterium. RNAcentral's name for it is "bacterial SSU rRNA". It matches the Rfam family "Bacterial small subunit ribosomal RNA", at positions 28 to 537 of the family's 1533-position model. The record is from RNAcentral.